CCUACGGGUGGCAGCAGUGAGGAAUAUUGGUCAAUGGGCGCGAGCCUGAACCAGCCAAGUCGCGUGAAGGAUGACUGCCCUACGGGUUGUAAACUUCUUUUAUCAAGGAAUAAUGUGAGGCAUGUGUGCCUUUUUGUAUGUACUUUAUGAAUAAGGCUUGGCUAACUUCGUGCCAGCAGCCGCGGUUAUACGGAGGGUCCGAGCGUUUACCGGAUUUAUUGGGUUUAAAGGGAGGGUAGAGGGGUAGAUAAGUCAGGUGUGAAAGUUUGCGGCUCAACCGUAAAAGUGCAAUUGAUACUGGCGGCCUUGAGUACAGUUGAGGUAGGCGGAAUGCGUGGUGUAGCGGUGAAAUGCAUAGAUAUCACGAAGAACUCCGAUUGCGAAGGCAGCAUACUAAACUGCCACUGACAUUGAUGCUCGAAAGUGUGGGUAUCAAACAGGAUUAGAUACCCGAGUAGUC
Molecule: ribosomal RNA, 460 nt
Filed under: uncultured bacterium
Lineage: Bacteria
Description: partial 16S ribosomal RNA
Rfam family: Bacterial small subunit ribosomal RNA
Source: RNAcentral